UCCGAUAUGGUGUAGUGGCUAACAUCGGCGUCUCUCACACGCCAGCCAGGGGUUCGAUUCCCCUUAUCGGAG
The sequence is a transfer RNA, 72 nucleotides long. It matches the Rfam family "tRNA". From Rfam's summary of the family: Transfer RNA (tRNA) molecules are approximately 80 nucleotides in length. The record is from Rfam.